Molecule: long non-coding RNA, 665 nt
Organism: Cyprinus carpio carpio
Lineage: Eukaryota; Metazoa; Chordata; Actinopteri; Cypriniformes; Cyprinidae
Source: Ensembl
GAGCCACUGCAGAGGAUGGCAGCUACAGUGGGCUUUCCGGAGUUGAGUCAGGUUCCCGUUGACUCUCCAGAGUUGAGUCAGGUUCCGGGUGACCUUCAAGAGUUGAGUCAGAUUCCCGUUGACCCUCCAGAGUUGAGUCAGGUGCUCAUGGACCCUCCAGAGUCAGGGUUAGUCACCGUUGACCUUCCAGAGUCAGGGUUAGUCACCAUUGACCUUCCAGAGUCAGGGCUAGUUACCACGGACUUUCCAGAGUCAAGGCUAGUCACCGUUGACCUUUCAGAGUCAAGUCAAGUCACUGGGGAUCUUCAAGGACCGAGUCAAGUCACUGGGGAUCUUCAAGGACCGAGUCAAGUCACUGGUGAUCUUCAAGGACCGAGUCAAGUCACUGGUGAUCUUCAAGGACCGAGUCAAGUCACCGGAGUUCUUCAUGGGAGAAUUCAAGUCACCAGUGAUCUUCAUGAACAAAGGCAAGUCACCACUGAUCUUCAUUAACAAAGCCAAGUCACCACUGAUCUUCAUGAACAAAGCCAAGUCACCAAUGAUCUUCAUGAACAAAUGCAAGUCACCAAUGAUCUUCAUGAGCAGAGUCAAGUCAGCAUCGAUCUUCUGGAAUCCAGUAUAAACACCAUGGGAUUACCAGAGUUUCGUCACUCCUCUGUGGAACU